GUCUCAUUACGUUGUGCAGGCGAGUCUCUAACUCAGCUCAAGCGAUCUUUCUGCCUCAGCUUCCUAAAGUCCUGGGAUUACAAGCACAAGCCACUACGCCUGGCCUGCUUUGUGAUUUUUGAAUCAACAGCUUCACCCUCUGAACUUCCAUUUUCUUAGUUAUAAAUUGGAGACAAUUACUUUUUGUUGUUUAAAACAGAAUUCCGAUCAUGUUGCUCUACUACCUAAAAUCCUGCAUGGCUUCUCAUUGCUCAGAAUAAAAUCCCAUUGAAACCUACACUUUGAAUGAUUACCUGAAUUGCCCUCUUACCCUUUAUUUUCAUUUAUUCAUUUAUUGAUUUAACAAUUAUUUAUGUGUAUGUUCUAGACCAGGCACUGUUGAUAGAUCAUUGAACCAAGCUAAGUUACUGCCACCUUACUUGACAGAAAAGUAUGCAAUAAAUACGUAGACAAAUUAAAAUAUACUACAAUGUUAGGUGCCAUGGUUCACUCAUGAAAAUAUCAAGCAGAUUGAGGUAGAGAGAGCUACUUUAGGCGGAGUGGCCAGGGAGGCGUCCCUAUAGAACGCCUCAAAUGUCAAAAUGACAUUUGAGGGGCAUCUGCAGGAGGUAAGGAGGUGAGUGAGCCGUGUCACUAUGAGAAACAGUGUUCCUGGCAAGAGAGCAGAAGAUCAAAGGCCCAGCAGCAGAGGUAUGGCUGGCAUGUUGCCGUACUUACCCGACCAAACAUCUGAUGGUACAACCUGUCAUUGUCGUCCCUACACCUGAUCGCCUGAUCAGCCCAAUGCUAUUAGAGGAACACAUGCCACCAGGCCGACUGUGACACUGUAGCCUAUUGUUUCAUCUCCCAAUUGGGUUCUCAGAACACCUUCUAUUGUUCUUAGCUCCCUCUCUCACUUGCUUGGCGGUUGUUCCAAACAUUCACACCUCACUUAAGCCAAAAAUAAGAACAACAAAAGCCACAAUGUUUUCUCAUAUUUUCUAUGGUUCAGGCAAUAUGCUAAGUUGUUUUUCCCAUACAUUUAUCAUAUUUAAUCUUUACCUCAAACGUAUAGGUUAAGUACUGUAAUUUUAUAGAUGAGAAAACUGAAACUUAGAGAGGUGAAGCAACUUGACUGUAGAUCCCACCAGUGACUGCUGGAGCUGAGGGUCACACCAGAGCAGGGGCUGUGCCGACCUAAUCCGCAUCCCAACCCCAUCCCCAUCAGCAAACUGUCUCAUGUCAUCCCCUACCCUCCUUGCUCAGAAAACCUGUCAGCAUGAAAGCCUUUAGAUUGCUUACAUAGUUACCAAAUUGAAUCAACUCUGAGACUAUUCAUUUUAAGAAGCACCAUUAUUUCAUGUAACACCAAGAGGUAAAUGCUGCAGUUACACUAUAAAACAAUGCUAAGACCAUUUCUAUAAAACAGAUGCUUCAAAGUGAAAAUAAACUCUGUUCAACAAUUGAUGGACUUUAAAUACAGUACAUCCAUAGCCAUCAAGGCCUUUUUCUUCCUGUGUCAAAAGGUAGGAUGUCCCUCCUCAAGACUAAAAUCCUCUUCCUAUGUUCUUUAUUCUUUCUUUUCCUUGACCUGCUUUUCCUUGAUUUUUUUCUUUCUCUCCAUUUGUUUUCAACUCUACUUUCCUAAGAAUGAAAACAUCUUCAGGUCUCUUAUCCUGAAAAUCAUGUGCUUGACUCAUCCUACAUCUCCUCUAGCAAUUAUUCUAUUUUAAGUUUUCCCUUGUUAUUCCUUCUUUCUUUCUGUCUGGUAUUUAUCUUGAGACCUAUAAAGGAUUUUACAAAGACAGCCUUGGUCCUAAUUAUAUUAGAUAUUUUGGUCCCAAUUAUAAAGCCUAACAUUUGUUUACAGCAUCUUUGUUGAGGGCAUAUGUUGUAUUUGUUUCUUCCCAGCAAACCUUUCAUUGGAGAACAGUCUUCCCCCACACCAUCCCAUAGAAAUACUGUUCACUAUAUCUGGUUCAGGAGGACUGACUCUCCCAACUCCUUUCUCCAGGAGUGGAUACAUGAUCCAGGACUGGCCAGAAUUCUACA
RNAcentral lists this long non-coding RNA (2031 nucleotides) under Homo sapiens (human). Its description in RNAcentral is "non-protein coding POC1B-AS1:42". The record is from RNAcentral. Lineage: Eukaryota; Metazoa; Chordata; Mammalia; Primates; Hominidae.